This 407-nucleotide ribosomal RNA is filed under the name uncultured bacterium. RNAcentral describes it as "partial 16S ribosomal RNA". It matches the Rfam family "Bacterial small subunit ribosomal RNA", at positions 30 to 526 of the family's 1533-position model. The record is from RNAcentral.
AUUGAACGCUGGCGGCAGGCCUAACACAUGCAAGUCGAGCGGAGCGGCGGACGGGUGAGUAAUGCCUAGGAAUCUGCCUGGUAGUGGGGGAUAACGUCCGGAAACGGGCGCUAAUACCGCAUACUAUCAGAUGAGCCUAGGUCGGAUAAGCUAGUUGGUGGGGUAAAGGCCUACCAAGGCGACGAUCCGUAACUGGUCUGAGAGGAUGAUCAGUCACACUGGAACUUGGACACGGUCCAGACACCUACGGGAGGCAGAAGUGGGGAAUAUUGGACAAUGGGCGAAAGCCUGAUCCAGCCAUCCCGCGUGUAUGAUGAAGGCCUUCGGGUUGUAAAGUACUUUUGGUCGGGAAGCGGUAUCUGCAGAAUAAGCACCGGCUAACUACGUGCCAGCAGCCGCGGUAAUUC